UUUUGACUUCCGCGCGUACACACGGGAAAUACUUAGCAAGCAGAGAGACAUUUUGCUGAGGUUCUAAAUGUCUGCAACUGUGACUGUUGCUGUAGAGGGCAGAUGGUUUCAUUUGUCCAGCUGUACAACCUGCUUUCUAUGUUUCAACCUCAUCAUCCUUUUAUGUUUUUCACCUGGUAGGUGGUUAGUUACAUACACUGCAAUGCAGAAGCACAUGAAUCUUUGAGCUUGAUGAAGAAGAGCAGAAGUUUCAUAUUGUUGAAUUCAGAUGUCUUCAACAAUCAUUUUCUUCUCUUUUCUUGUCUGUCUUUCUGUCUGCUGGCUUAUCAUUUCCACAUCUAACUACCCACUAAGACACACACUUCUGGACAUGACUUGCUAACUAUCUAGUAUUGUUAUAUCAUUUCUAUCUUUUUUUUUUUGUUUUUGCUGUGGACAAGGUCUCCCUGUGAGUGAGGUGAAUGGUCAACUGCAAUUCAUUCAUUUCAUUGACCAACAUUCAGUAUAAAAUGACUCCUUUUGCUUUUGCUUUUAAUUUUUAUUUAUUUCACAUGUUUUUUCUACACUUGAUGGCUCAGUUGAUUGGGCAAUUUUGAUCUUGCGCUUCUCAAUUUUGAUGGAUGUAUCUACAUUGGUUCUUAGUAAUUCCUUUCUUUUCCCCAUCCUUCAUCUGAGGUGUUAUUUACAUAAGAGACACUGUCAAAAAAUGAGAGCAAAUCAAAAACAGCAUAAAAACUGUUUCAGCACUCCGACACAGCGCGCGUCGUUAUUUUCAUUUUGCUAUUUCCC
Molecule: small RNA, 789 nt
Filed under: Histoplasma ohiense
Lineage: Eukaryota; Fungi; Ascomycota; Eurotiomycetes; Onygenales; Ajellomycetaceae
Description: hypothetical lncRNA
Source: RNAcentral